GGGGGUGACAGGUCUCGACUUCGGACGUUACGGCAGGAGAAGCGAGCCGAGGAAGCCGACGUUGUCUCGAUAAUCAUCGUCGGAAACCCAUAAGCGCCAACUCAAAUAGCGCUGACCUGACCCAGAAGGAAAUGGCUCUCGCCGCCUGAGGCAAGAGUUAGGUCUAGGUCUGUCGGACCGGGGUUGCCUUCGACCCGGAUUCCGGCAUCAGUGAGAAGGCUGGCCGACUGAGCCCUGUCGUGGGGCCCACGAGGUGAGAUGAAUCGCGACUGGACCCGUCAUCCCGACUCGCUCGCGUGAUCGGGAGGGCCGAGUAGAGACAUAGCGAGCUGCGCUCGGAGAAGUCCUGGCAAGACGACGAAGGACCCGGGUUCGAUUCCCGGCACCUCCACCA
RNAcentral lists this transfer-messenger RNA (394 nucleotides) under Micromonosporaceae. RNAcentral's name for it is "JABDRL01 sp013041765 Standard tmRNA". It matches the Rfam family "transfer-messenger RNA". From Rfam's summary of the family: Bacterial tmRNA, also known as 10Sa RNA or SsrA, is named for its dual tRNA and mRNA-like properties. RNAcentral also lists the same sequence under 1 other name. The record is from RNAcentral. Lineage: Bacteria; Bacillati; Actinomycetota; Actinomycetes; Micromonosporales.